CAGAAAAUAGUUUAUUUAAAAACAUUAAUUUUGGAGAUUAAAAAUACAUAUGUUUUUCUGA
Molecule: transfer RNA, 61 nt
Filed under: Cerophytidae sp. BMNH 900085
Lineage: Eukaryota; Metazoa; Arthropoda; Insecta; Coleoptera; Cerophytidae
Description: tRNA-Pro
Source: RNAcentral